RNAcentral lists this long non-coding RNA (1804 nucleotides) under Mytilus galloprovincialis (Mediterranean mussel). Lineage: Eukaryota; Metazoa; Mollusca; Bivalvia; Mytilida; Mytilidae. The record is from RNAcentral.
GAGGAGUUAAGCUCAUCGUCUUUCAUUAUGGCAUUAAAACGAUUCACAGCAAUACGAGGUCCAGUGAGUCAUUUUAGAUCUGAUAGAGGAACAAACUUCGUAGGCUCUAUCAAAGAAUUAGGGAUACAAGCAAUCAACGUCGAGGAUGGUCGAAUGAAAGAGUUUCUUCGUAAUCAGGGAACAACUUGGCAGUUCAACCCGCCUCACGCUUCUCACAUGGGAGGUGUCUGGGAAAGAGUUAUUGGCAUAACAAGAAGAAUACUAGAUUCGCUCUUAAUGGAAGCUUCUAGGAAUAAGCUUACUCAUGAGAUGCUUGUAACAUUUUUAGCAGAAGCAUCAGCAAUUGUGAAUUCGAGACCGCUUGUCCCUCUCACUACCGAUCCAGAAAAUCCGAUGCCGCUCUCUCCAUCUUUAUUACUUACUCAAAAACCGCAACAGAUCAUUAACGAUCAGCAAAUAAUUGACAGCAAAGAUAUGUACAAUAAACAGUGGAAAUGUGUGCAAAUACUUGCAGAUAAAUUUUGGAAUCGAUGGAAAAAUGAAUACCUACAAACACUCCAAACACAACGUAAAUGGACCGAACCACAGAAAAACAUCUCUCCGGGCGAUGUUGUUCUGAUAAGAGACAAGCAAUCUGCUAGAAACGAUUGGCCUAUAGGGAUUGUAGAGAGAACUUAUCCUGGAUCCGAUCAACUAGUACGUACAUGCGAUGUGCGAAUCAUGCGAAAUGGUGAACGUGCAGUGACAUACACUCGUCCAGUGACCGAAAUUGUGCAUCUUUUUCUAGACGAGUCAUGGGGAGAAGUCCAGAAAAAGAAAACUUUGAUAUUGACAAUGUAGAACUUUUAGCUUAGACAAUUUAGAACUUUAGUUGUUAUUUACAGUUAAAUGUAGUAUUGAACAUUUUAGUAUUUUUUGGUUUUUUGCUUUUUAUAGUGAUGCCUUUUGCAUCAGACGGGGAGUGUUCUGUCGAAUAAUUGACAAUUUAUUACUUUCACUAUAAAACCUUUUUAUUAAUCACGUUGGCCGUACAUUCCACAGCAGCCACAUCAAAAUCAUAUCACGUGUUUGUUUUUGUUCUCAUCUCAUUGUUAAAUUUCUUGAUCUACGGCCUAUCACGGAGUAAGUAAUUAAUUAAUUUAAUUUUUGUUUUGCAAUUAUUACAAAUGUAUUUUUGUUUAUUUUAGUAAGUUCAGUAAUCGUUUUAUUUACUUUGAUUAAGAGUUUUCAUUGUUCACCUUUGUUACACAACACACGCAUACACAUUCACAUCGUGUUAUCUUAACUAACGAAACACACUCAUUAUCAUUAUUUUUAUGACUUUCCAAUGUUUUACGAAUGUCAAGAAGGUGUUAUUGAAUAAGUUUGCAUACUUAUUUCUGUUUAUAUUGAUUUUGUAUCUGUAUUAAACUUUUGUUUAUUUUGGUAUAAAUACACGAGAUAACCUUGAUAGCAUGUUGAUACGUCAUACUUUAUUUAAAGAAAAAAUCUAUGGAACACAAUUAGUGCCACUUUUAGGCGUACAAUUUUGUCUUUCUAAUGAAUAAGUUUAAUUGUUUUUAAGCGCAUUUCACAUAGGAAAUUGUUACUAUUGUACUAUAUACUUUUUAUUUCAUUUAUUUAAUCAGUUAAAUUAGUAAUUCAUCUAAGAUCAGGUUUUUAUGAUUCUUUAUUUGUAUUUCAGUUUUUUACCACACAAACAUGUAUGUAACCACAUCAUCAUAGAUUAAAUCAUCUAAAAUCACAUGUUGUUACUUCAUCACGGGUAAACUAACUGUAAGGCGGCAGUGCCAAGGCAGAAUAA